RNAcentral lists this ribosomal RNA (954 nucleotides) under Inurois fletcheri. RNAcentral's name for it is "partial 16S rRNA". The record is from RNAcentral. Lineage: Eukaryota; Metazoa; Arthropoda; Insecta; Lepidoptera; Geometridae.
AAAGAGCUAAAUAAUUAAUAAAGUUAUUGUGGUAAAAUUAUUUUUAAUAAUUAUUUUGAAAUGAAAUGUUAUUCGUUUUUAAAUAUAUCUAGUUUUUUUAGAAAAAAAUUUAAUUUUAAAUUUAAUUUUAAUAUUAAUUAAUUAAUUAAUUUUUAUUUAAUUAAUUUUUAUAUUUUAGGGGAUAAGCUUUAAAUUACCCAUUUAUAAAAUAAUUUUUUGUUUUUAAAAAUUUUAUAAUUUAUAUUGUUAAUAAAUUGUAUUUUAUUAUAAAUAAUUUUAAAAUAAAUAAAAUUUAAUUUAAUUUUUAAUUUUGUAUAGAAAAAUAAUUUUAAAUUUAAUAAAUUUAAAAAUAAUGAUAAAAUUAGUAUAUUUAUUUUAUUUAUUUAGAAAUUUUAUUAGAUAAUUUAAUUAAUUAAAAGGAAUUCGGCAAAUAUUUAUAUUCACUUGUUUAACAAAAACAUGUCUUUUUGAAUUUAAUUUAAAGUCUAAUCUGCCCACUGAUUUAUAAAUUAAAGGGCUGCAGUAUUUUGACUGUACAAAGGUAGCAUAAUCAUUAGUCUCUUAAUUGGUGACUUGUAUGAAAGAUUGAAUGAAAUAUAUACUGUCUCUUAAUUAAUAUAUAGAAUUUAAUUUUUUAUUUAAAAAGUUAAAAUGAUUUAAAAAGACGAGAAGACCCUAUAGAGUUUUAUAAAUAAAUUUAUUAAUUUAAUUAUUUAUAUUUAUUAAAAUUAUUAUAAUUUUAUUUAUUUUAUUGGGGUGAUAAAGAAAUAAAAUUAACUUUUUUUAAAUUAAAACAUAAAUAAGUGAAUAAAUGAUCCAUUAAUAUUGAUUAUAAGAUUAAAUUACCUUAGGGAUAACAGCGUAAUUUUUUUUUUUAGUUCAAAUAAGAAAAAGAGUUUGCGACCUCGAUGUUGGAUUAAGAUAAAAUUUAAAUGCAAAAGUUUAAAAUUUUUG